GGUUGCGAUCAUACCAGCACUAAUGCGUCGGAUCCCAUCAGUACUCCACAGUUAAACUUGCUUGGGUGAGAGUAGUACUAGGAUGGGCGACCCCCUGGGAAGUCCUCAUGUUCCAAACCU
RNAcentral lists this ribosomal RNA (120 nucleotides) under Helianthus annuus (common sunflower). Lineage: Eukaryota; Viridiplantae; Streptophyta; Magnoliopsida; Asterales; Asteraceae. The record is from RNAcentral.